This 58-nucleotide transfer RNA is filed under the name Synechococcus sp. CS-603. Its description in RNAcentral is "tRNA-Ser". RNAcentral also lists the same sequence under 4 other names. Lineage: Bacteria; Bacillati; Cyanobacteriota; Cyanophyceae; Synechococcales; Synechococcaceae. The record is from RNAcentral.
GCGAUUGGUGGCUCAGCCUUCCAAGCUGAUGAUGCGGAUUCGAUUCCCGCCGUCCGCU